RNAcentral lists this ribosomal RNA (583 nucleotides) under Typhlocharis sp. 1 aff. armata CA-2017. RNAcentral's name for it is "partial large subunit ribosomal RNA". The stretch from base 342 to 500 matches the Rfam family "Bacterial large subunit ribosomal RNA", at positions 2473 to 2632 of the family's 2925-position model. The record is from RNAcentral. Lineage: Eukaryota; Metazoa; Arthropoda; Insecta; Coleoptera; Carabidae.
UUAAAUGGCUGCAGUAAUUUGACUGUACAAAGGUAGCAUAAUCAAUAGUUUUUUAAUUGAAAGCUAGAAUGAAUGGUUGGACGAAAUAAAAUCUGUCUUUAUUUAAUUUAAAAUAAAAUUUAAUUUUUAAGUUAAAAAGCUUAAAUUUUUAUAAAAGACGAGAAGACCCUAUAGAGUUUUAUAUUUUUAAUGUAUAUUUAAUUUUGAUUUAUUUAUUAUAUAUAAAAUAAAAUAUUUUAUUGGGGUAAUAUAAAGAUUAAUAUAAUUCUUUUUGUUUUUGUAUAUUUAUUUAUAUUAUAAUUGAUCCAUUUUUAAUGAUUAUAAGAUUAAAUUACCUUAGGGAUAACAGCGUAAUUUUUUUAGAGAGUUCAUAUUGAUAAAAAAGUUUGCGACCUCGAUGUUGGAUUAAAGAUUAAUUUAGGUGCAAAAGUUUAAAUGUUUGGUCUGUUCGACCAUUAAAUCUUUACAUGAUCUGAGUUCAGACCGGCGUGAGCCAGGUCGGUUUCUAUCUUUAUUUAAUUAAAAUAUUUUAGUACGAAAGGACCAAAUAUUAAUUAUAAUAAUUUGUAUUUUGAAUUUUAUU